Long non-coding RNA from Dicentrarchus labrax (European seabass), 2683 nucleotides. RefSeq lists it as uncharacterized. NCBI's taxonomy places the organism in Eukaryota, Metazoa, Chordata, Actinopteri, Moronidae. The record is from RefSeq and is a predicted model, not a curated record. The transcript has 4 exons.
ACCAAUGAGGGCGCGCGCGGAGCGGUGUGUGCUGUCUCGUGUUGCCGUGAACGGGAUAUUUUAGGAGGCUGGAGAGCAGCGAGCGUCUCACCCCCGGAGGAGCCGGAGCUGGCUGUCUGUCUGCCCGUGUGCGUGUGUCUGUCUGCAGGGACCGAGGGAGGCGCUGACUUCAGGCCGAGCAGGAGCGUCGCUGAGUCGGUGUGAGGACGGUAGAUGUCGCGCCAAGGAGCGGAGGACAUCCACGGAGAGAGAGGCUUUCACUGGGAUUUACUGAACGGCUGCGGGACACAUUUACUCAAAGGAGCCUGAGGGCGAUGUGGAGGCUCAGAUCGGCUCAGACACACUGAUUCAAACUCCGGUUAGAGAGCUGAGCGUCGGCUGUGGAGCGUCAGCAGCAGCAGCCCCUUCCCUGUGAGAGAGACCAAACCAUUCAACAACGUCGAAAGUUGCUUACUUCAAGAGGAAAUAUGCGGAGGAGGAGGAUUUACGAGGAGGCCUACGUGGAUAUUUUCAAAAACACCUGAUACUGCAGGAGGACCGGAGCUGCAUCCUGAAGCUGUCCCUGGAGAAGCUGAGGUUCCUGGAGGACCCUGAGGCCUACCUGCGGCGCUCCGUCCUCAUCAACAACCUGCUGAGGAAGAUCCACCAUGAGGAAGAGGAGCUGGAGGCGGAAGAAGAGGAGGAAGAAGAAGAAGAAGAAGAAGAAGAAGAAGAAGAUGAAGUAGAAGAGGAAGAAGAAGAAGAGGAAGAGGAAGAGGAGGUGAUAGGUGAGAGGGGGCAGCGGAGGCUGUUGUACCCGGACAGGAAGAGGGUGAAGGUGCUGGUGAUGGACUGCCGCUCUCCGGGCUUCGGCCUGGAGGAGCUUCAGCACUACCGGCUGGUGCCCUGUUACCCGUCAGCCGGAUGCCUGUACAGCCUGGGUACCUGCCCGGGUCUCGCCCCCAACCAUCAGGUCCUUCUGUACAACCUGGACGACAAUGGAUGACUGCCUCUUUUCAACUCUGGGAAAUGCAACGUCAGUUCAUGUUAACGGCACGUGGACAAAAACAACCCGGAGGAAAGCUUUCCUCUCUGGGGUUUUCCACUUAAAGACCUUCGAGGGAACAUGUGUCGUGGGGUCUGUUUUGUUCGUUGCCAGGAUGUGUCCUCCUCUCGAGGCAGCGGUGGAUCUGAGAAACCCUGAUUCUUCUUCUGCCUCAGGAUCAACAGGGUCUCUGAUGUUGAUGUCAAACUCUGUCGCAGCGUCACUGCCAUUCACUCUGAAGCAGUAAAGGAUUUUAUUUUUGUUUUGUUUCUGUUGCUGUUGAUGUUGUGUUAUUGUUGCUCAUGUGAACCGUGAGCGUAUUCAGGGAUUUACAGACUGCAGGCUACUUUUUGAUGCACCUUGGCUUGCGUGGAGAAUAUGCGCUGAUAUGCUUCUGUUAUCUUUUUAUGCUACAAUGUGAUUUAUGAAAUAUUCUGUGUAAACAUUCCCUGGACCGUGUGAAUUGUCAUACUAUCUCAAGAUAUCCUCUGAGGUGCUUUACUGCCUGUGGGAAGACUGUUUCUCUCUCUGUAUUUGACGUCCUGUGUUCAUUUUGCAUCACUUUGCUGCCCUCUGCUGGUGAAAGAAUUAAUUUUGAAGCCCUCGUUAGUGGCUGAUGUGUUCAAAUCUCAUAAUGCAAGAAAGAAAUUGAAGACAACACUUGACUUUAAGGCCCCUUAUUUAGUAUUUAUAAGCAAUAUACAAUAAUUUAAUAAUUUAUAACAGACGAUAAUGCAGUUGUAAGCAUAUAUAAGUGUUUAAUCAUGUAUUUCUCAACCACUAUAACUCCUCCUGUGGGCACCUAUAAGUGGAGGCUGGUGUAUAAACAUAUUGAAUGACAGUAAAAUACAGAUAUAAUAAUAUAAAAUAUGCUUUCUUAGGAGAAGUUGUUGAAAAAGACUGUACAUUAACACUUAAAAUGCCCUUUAAAUCUACAUACAUACAGUAUAUUGUAUUAUAAACCAUAUUAAGUGUUUGUAUAGUGCUUAUAAAUAGUUAAGGUUAAAGUAAAGUUUAACCUAAAAGGGCAAUCAUGUUUUUUUGUUGUUUUCACUUGUCAGUUUUUGCUUUGUUGUGGUUUAAAAAAAAGAAAGAUGGCAUCUCUUCUCAUUGUCUUCAGCUCUAAGAAGUCACAACAUUUUUUUCUUUCUGCUACCAAAUCAUUUGUUUGUGAAUGAUUUCCCGCCAUGUGGUGUUUUAAAGCUGAAUUUCAGAGAGCAGAAUGUCUUUAAAUUGAUAUUAUAUUCCAGAUUUUCUCAGUCCGGGCUAAACAGCUGCUGCAAUGCUGUGACAGGGACUUCAGAAGAUAUUUUAUUAUUUAAUGUGGCACAAUGUUUGCUUUAUAAAGCUGACUAAUCUGCUGUAAGACAACAGUGAUUAAUGAUUCAUCCUUUUCUAGUGUCUCUGUAUGUGUUUUGAGUCUCUGUCCAGGAGUUUCACUGGGUUUGAAAACUUGUAUCUUGAUAACAAUCACUACAAUGGAAAAAAAACAACAACAACAAACUGCAGGCAACUAUUAAAGAGAAGCUUGAUAUUUUAAAACAAGAAUUUAUAUUUUGAUGAAAGUGCAUAUUCCAUAUUUAAGAUAAACUAUUUUGAAAAAGGGCCAUUCAACUUUUUUUCAGGUGAUUGAUUAUCAAAUAAAGUAUGUAAGGUGAA